Molecule: ribosomal RNA, 1533 nt
Filed under: Staphylococcus aureus
Lineage: Bacteria; Bacillati; Bacillota; Bacilli; Caryophanales; Staphylococcaceae
Description: bacterial SSU rRNA
Rfam family: Bacterial small subunit ribosomal RNA
Source: RNAcentral
AGAGUUUGAUCCUGGCUCAGGAUGAACGCUGGCGGCGUGCCUAAUACAUGCAAGUCGAGCGAACGGACGAGAAGCUUGCUUCUCUGAUGUUAGCGGCGGACGGGUGAGUAACACGUGGAUAACCUACCUAUAAGACUGGGAUAACUUCGGGAAACCGGAGCUAAUACCGGAUAAUAUUUUGAACCGCAUGGUUCAAAAGUGAAAGACGGUCUUGCUGUCACUUAUAGAUGGAUCCGCGCUGCAUUAGCUAGUUGGUAAGGUAACGGCUUACCAAGGCAACGAUGCAUAGCCGACCUGAGAGGGUGAUCGGCCACACUGGAACUGAGACACGGUCCAGACUCCUACGGGAGGCAGCAGUAGGGAAUCUUCCGCAAUGGGCGAAAGCCUGACGGAGCAACGCCGCGUGAGUGAUGAAGGUCUUCGGAUCGUAAAACUCUGUUAUUAGGGAAGMACMUAUUUGUGGUARGUAACUGUGGCACCAUUCUUGACGGUACCUUAAUCAGRAAGSCAACGGCUAACUACGUGCCAGCAGCCGCGGUAAUACGUAGGUGGCAAGCGUUAUCCGGAAUUAUUGGGCGUAAAGCGCGCGUAGGCGGUUUUUUAAGUCUGAUGUGAAAGCCCACGGCUCAACCGUGGAGGGUCAUUGGAAACUGGAAAACUUGAGUGCAGAAGAGGAAAGUGGAWUUCCAUGUGUAGCGGUGAAAUGCGCAGAGAUAUGGAGGAACACCAGUGGCGAAGGCGACUUUCUGGUCUGUAACUGACGCUGAUGUGCGAAAGCGUGGGGAUCAAACAGGAUUAGAUACCCUGGUAGUCCACGCCGUAAACGAUGAGUGCUAAGUGUUAGGGGGUUUCCGCCCCUUAGUGCUGCAGCUAACGCAUUAAGCACUCCGCCUGGGGAGUACGACCGCAAGGUUGAAACUCAAAGGAAUUGACGGGGACCCGCACAAGCGGUGGAGCAUGUGGUUUAAUUCGAAGCAACGCGAAGAACCUUACCAAAUCCUUGACAUCCUUUGACAACUCCUAGAAGAWAGAGCUUUCCCCYUCSGGGGACAAAGUGACAGGUGGGUGCAUGGUUGUCCGUCCAGCCUCGUGUCCGKGAGAGAUGUUUGGGGUUAAGUCCCGCAACGAGCGCAACCCUUAAGCUUAGUUGCCAUCAUUAAGUUGGGCACUCUAAGUUGACUGCCGGUGACAAACCGGAGGAAGGUGGGGAUGACGUCAAAUCAUCAUGCCCCUUAUGAUUUGGGCUACACACGUGCUACAAUGGACAAUACAAAGGGCAGCGAAACCGCGAGGUCAAGCAAAUCCCAUAAAGUUGUUCUCAGUUCGGAUUGUAGUCUGCAACUCGACUACAUGAAGCUGGAAUCGCUAGUAAUCGUAGAUCAGCAUGCUACGGUGAAUACGUUCCCGGGUCUUGUACACACCGCCCGUCACACCACGAGAGUUUGUAACACCCGAAGCCGGUGGAGUAACCUUUUAGGAGCUAGCCGUCGAAGGUGGGACAAAUGAUUGGGGUGAAGUCGUAACAAGGUAGCC